CAAUACAGAGCGGCGCACGGGAGAGUAAUACAUGGGAACCUACCUUUUGGUUCGGAAUAACGUCGGGAAACUGACGCUAAUACCGGAUACGUCCUUCGGGAGAAAGAUUUAUCGCCGAUAGAUGGGCCCAUGUUGGAUUAGCUAGUUGGUGAGGUAAUGGCUCACCAAGGCUACGAUCCAUAGCUGGUCUGAGAGGAUGAUCAGCCUCACUGGGACUGAGACACGGCCCAGACUCCUACGGGAGGCAGCAGUGGGGAAUAUUGGACAAUGGGGGCAACCCUGAUCCAGCCAUGCCGCGUGAAUGAUGAAGGCCUUCGGGUUGUAAAGUUCUUUUGGCAGGGACGAUGAUGACGGUACCUGCAGAAUAAGCUCCGGCUAACUUCGUGCCAGCAGCCGCGGUAAUACGAAGGGAGCUA
RNAcentral lists this ribosomal RNA (416 nucleotides) under uncultured bacterium. RNAcentral's name for it is "bacterial SSU rRNA". It matches the Rfam family "Bacterial small subunit ribosomal RNA", at positions 86 to 537 of the family's 1533-position model. The record is from RNAcentral.